UUCUACACAAUCAGAAUGAGAGGUGGAGUCCAUGGUUUCUACCAUAAUAAAAACCCCAUCCUGGAUUGAACGCAAUCAGUAUGAGAGGUGGACUCCAUGGUUUCUAUCAUGCGCUGCGGUUUCCGUCGUAAGUCGUCCGGUCUAUGUUCUCCCAUUCAGAGGUUGAGAGAUGUGCAUUCGGACUGCUCUAAUACACCCUUCGAUUAGGUGGAUGAAGUCGUGAAUGUUGAUGUCAGCGAUUACCGAGUGUUCAUAGAGGCGGGACAACUGUAGGCGGCAUAAACCGGGAUUGAAAAUAAUACUGCUUUGGGAGUGUAUGGGAUGACUGAUGCGGAUGCAAAAGUAAUAUUGUUCUGGAAGUGCAAAGUACAUGUCCCCGUACCGCAGGCGCCCCAUGGAGACCGGUCUGUGCAGAGUCGUAGCAUUUGGUUUCUGUCCCAACGAAAAUGUAGAAAAGAGCAUCUUCAAAUUCGGUUGAAUAUCCCAAUUUGAUCAAGCAGCUCCAUGUUCCUUCCAGCACGUCGUCAUGUUGAAUCGGUUAGUAAAAAAUCGUAGUUCGUUCAGCCUAUAUUGGUUUUAUGACGUAAGGUUGUUUUAUUCGAGUCUAUCAAUCUCCACCACAAUCGUGAAACAAUACACGAAACAGAUGAUCCAUUUCAUUCUCGUUGAUUCCUUUUCAACAUUAAAUGUUUUCCAAAUGUCCGCUGCGCAUACAGAACUAACAUUCUAUUAAGUUAUCGUAGUUGGUUGUAAAUAUGUAAAGGAGCAUGUGUUGCCGAUCACAGUUGCUCGCAUAAAUUUUCCGGAAACAUGUUUAUCUCAACGAAAGAAAAAAUUUUGGAUAUCGUACGGCGUAUCAGGCAGGGAUGAUAUAGAAGUAAAAUGGAUAAAGAGAGAAGAUCCUAUUGUUUGUUUGAAGGAAGGUCGUUAAUGAGUUGUGGAGUUGUUGGAGCUAAAGCAACAAUAUUUCGUUGUUUUUAAGUGCAACGGGGAAUUUAAAUUUAAAUUCCUUGUGGUCCGUUCGAUUGACUCCGAGAUUGAUUAUUCAAGUUUCACAAGUUUCCAUCACGGUGACCACCGUAUGGGAAAUAAAUUUCCGAUUCAUUCGGGGGGUUUUGUAUAUGGAAACUUCUGAAACUCGAGUAAUCAAUUUAGGAAGCAUUCGAACGAAUCACGUUGGAUUUAAAUUUAGAUUCUCCUUUGUACUUAAAUGCCACGAGAUACGGUUGCUUUAGUUUUAACAACUCCACAACUCCUUUCCGACGUUGAUUCAAACGAGCACUAUUAUUUUAUUUCUUGAUCCAUUUUACUUCUAUUUCAUCCCCGGUUGGUAGGUGUAAUGAUGUUGUCAACCAUAGGCAUUUCGAAAUGUUAUCUUUAUAAAACACAGGCUACUUCGUCAUAACUGCAACACUUGGCCACUUAAUUAAUAACCGGUACGUUGUUAGCACGGUAUUAACAACAUCAGUUACUGUUUACGUUGACUAGGUCGUUGUAACGUACAUUAGAAUAGGAAGUUGGAGCAAUUGCAUAAUUUUUGAGUUGGAAUAUGCUUUUCUUUGCAUGGGUAACGUCAUAUGAAUCUGAACGUGAUUAAUUUUUCUGUAACAUGCAUGAUUUUGCUGAACAACUGUUGUGGAGGAGGAACACAAUCGGGGAUAAAAAACAUGCUGCGGAUGGAGACUAUCUUACUGGAUCAGACGACGAAUAUUGUGAAUUUUAUGCCUUCAUUUUGUUGAAUCUUGUACGUAGCAGCCUUGUUUCAUGUUAACAAACAUGACAGACGGGGUUCGACAUUCUUCGUCAGCUGAAAUGCGGCCGGAAAGGUGGUUGCUGAAAGAUCUUCUCCAAUUCAUCACAGAAUGUUGCCUCUAUAAAAGAAACUUCUGUUUCCUAUAAAUGUAACAACCGAGCUGUACAGAAUCUAUAUGUAAUUGGACUUCGCUUGAAUGAAGAAAUACAGUCUCAAUCGGAUGCAUGAAUGUCAAUAAUCUAACGAUCAUUGCAGUGCACUAGUUUUUUAACUUGGAAAAUUGUUGUCAUGCCACUCCUUUUCCUCAUUUCCAUUUCAUCAAGUCUCGUUUUCUACUUCCCAGUAGGGUUGAGAGAUGAAUUAAACCUCUUAAUGUACUUUGUGCUAUACAUUUUCAUGUCUCUUUUAGCAAGUGAAGCAGUUGUGUUUGUCAUGGAAGUUGUUUAUCGUUUUGCUGUGUUCAUUUUUUUAUGCAGAUAAUAAUCUCUGCGUUUUAGCUGUAGGUGUCAUCGAGUGGGUACGGAAUUUAGUAGUA
Non-coding RNA from Arachis ipaensis, 2288 nucleotides. The record is from RefSeq and is a predicted model, not a curated record. NCBI's taxonomy places the organism in Eukaryota, Viridiplantae, Streptophyta, Magnoliopsida, Fabales, Fabaceae.